AUAAGAAAGUAAGCAAGGGCAGACGGUGGAUGCCUUGGCUCUCGGAGGCGACGAAGGACGUGAUAAGCUGCGAUAAGCUGGGGGGAGAUGCAAAUAAUCUUUGAUCCUCAGAUUUCCGAAUGGGGCAACCCGGCAGGUUGAAGGCCUGUCAUCCCGUAAGGGAGGCGAACGUGGGGAACUGAAACAUCUAAGUACCCAUAGGAGGAGAAAAUAAGAAUGAUUCCGCAAGUAGUGGCGAGCGAACGCGGAAGAGCCCAAACCGGUAUUGUUUAGGCAAUACCGGGGUUGUAGGACCACGUUGUGGCAAGAACUUAGGAAAGUGGAACACUUUGGAAAAAGUGAUCGUAGAGGGUGAAAAUCCCGUACACGACUUUCUAACGAAGCCUAGUGGUAUCCUGAGUAGCGCGGAGCACGAGAAAUUCUGUGUGAAUUAGCGGGGCCCAUCCCGUAAGGCUAAAUACUCCCGAGAGACCGAUAGCGAACCAGUACCGUGAGGGAAAGGUGAAAAGAACCUCGAACAGAGGAGUGAAAUAGACCCUGAACCCGUCUGCCUACAAGCGGUCGGAGCAACGUAAGUUGUGACGGCGUGCCUUUUGCAUAAUGAACCUACGAGUUACUUUCUCCGGCAAGGUUAAGUAUUUCAGAUACGGAGCCGAAGCGAAAGCGAGUCUGAACAGGGCGACAUAGUCGGAGGGAGUAGACGCGAAACCAAGUGAUCUACCCAUGGUCAGGUUGAAGGUUAGGUAACACUAACUGGAGGACCGAACCGGUAAGCGUUGAAAAGCUUUCGGAUGAACUGUGGGUAGGGGUGAAAGGCUAAUCAAACUUGGAGAUAGCUCGUACUCCCCGAAAUGCAUUUAGGUGCAGCCUUUAUUUAGUAUAGCAUGAGGUAGAGCGACUGAUUGGAUGCGAGGGCUUCACCGCCUAUCAAGUCCAGAUAAACUCCGAAUGCGUGCUAUAUAUUGAUAAGGAGUGAGGGCGCGGGUGCUAAGGUCCGCGUCCGAGAGGAGAAGAAUCCAGACCAUCAGCUAAGGUCCCCAAAUAACAGUUAAGUUGAACUAACGAAGUCAGACUGCAGAGACAGCUAGGAUGUUGGCUUGGAAGCAGCCAUUCAUUUAAAGAGUGCGUAACAGCUCACUAGUCGAGGAGUUUGGCGUGGAUAAUACUCGGGCAUAAACUGUUUACCGAAGCUAUGGAUCCAGAGUAAUGGAUGGUAGGGGAGCAUUCCAGUGGCGUUGAAGGUGAGGGAUAACCCUUGCUGGAGUAGCUGGAAAAGCAAAUGUAGGUAUAAGUAACGAUAAAGGAAGUGAGAAACUUCCUCGCCGAAAGACUAAGGUUUCCUGAUCAACGUUAAUCGGAUCAGGGUAAGUCGGGACCUAAGGAUAAGCCGAACGGCGAUUCCGAUGGAAGAAUGGUUUAAUAUUCCCAUACUACUUUAUAGAGCGAUGUGGAGACGGAGAAGUGACAGUCCUGCCAACUGACGGAAUAGUUGGUUAAAGGGUGUAGACGUUGAUCGCGGUAGGCAAAUCCGCCGUGAGAGUCGAACCUGAGAGUAUGCCGAGUACUUGUACAAGGCAAUAUGGAUGUAAACAGGCUCCCUAGAAAAUCCGCUAAGCAUAUCUAUAGAGUACCCGUACCGUAAACGGACACACGUAGUUGGGUUGAGAAUACUGAGGCGCUCGAGUGAUUCACGGUUAAGGAACUAGGCAAAUUGACCCUGUAACUUCGGGAUAAAGGGUCCCUGUCAGCGAUGGCGGGGCGCAGAGAAUAGGUCCAGGCAACUGUUUAACAAAAACACAUGGCUGUGCGAAAUAGAAAUAUGAAGUAUACAGCCUGACACCUGCCCGGUGCUGGAAGGUUAAGAGGAGAGCUCAUCGCAAGAGAAGGUUUGAAUUGAAGCCCCAGUAAACGGCGGCCGUAACUAUAACGGUCCUAAGGUAGCGAAAUUCCUUGUCGGGUAAGUUCCGACCUGCACGAAUGG
This 1981-nucleotide ribosomal RNA is filed under the name Parabacteroides distasonis. RNAcentral's name for it is "partial 23S ribosomal RNA". It matches the Rfam family "Bacterial large subunit ribosomal RNA", at positions 1 to 1999 of the family's 2925-position model. The record is from RNAcentral. Lineage: Bacteria; Pseudomonadati; Bacteroidota; Bacteroidia; Bacteroidales; Tannerellaceae.